RNAcentral lists this ribosomal RNA (520 nucleotides) under uncultured Scutellospora. RNAcentral describes it as "SSU rRNA". It matches the Rfam family "Eukaryotic small subunit ribosomal RNA", at positions 569 to 1093 of the family's 1831-position model. Lineage: Eukaryota; Fungi; Glomeromycota; Glomeromycetes; Diversisporales; Gigasporaceae. The record is from RNAcentral.
AGCAGCCGCGGUAAUUCCAGCUCCAAUAGCGUAUAUUAAAGUUGUUGCAGUUAAAAAGCUCGUAGUUGAAUUUCGGGGUUCUUCCGUUGGUCGGGCUAUCCAGUCUGUACUAGCGCGUAGAAUUCCUACCUUCUGGGGAACCAUCAUGUUAUUAAUUUAGCGUGGUGGGAAACCAGAACCUUUACCUUGAAAAAAUUAGAGUGUUCAAAGCAGGCUUACGUCUGAAUACAUUAGCAUGGAAUAAUAGAAUAGGACGGUGGUCCUGUUUUGUUGGUUUCUGAAUCACCGUAAUGAUUAAUAGGGAUAGUUGGGGGCAUUAGUAUUCAAUUGUCAGAGGUGAAAUUCUUGGAUUUAUUGAAGACUAACUUCUGCGAAAGCAUUUGCCAAGGAUGUUUUCAUUAAUCAAGAACGAAAGUUAGGGGAUCGAAGACGAUCAGAUACCGUCGUAGUCUUAACCAUAAACUAUGCCGACUAGGGAUCGGACGAUGUUAAAUUUUAUUGACUGUUCGGCGCCUUACGG